RNAcentral lists this transfer RNA (69 nucleotides) under Lumbricus rubellus (humus earthworm). RNAcentral describes it as "tRNA-Gln". It matches the Rfam family "tRNA". Rfam says of the family: Transfer RNA (tRNA) molecules are approximately 80 nucleotides in length. Their secondary structure includes four short double-helical elements and three loops (D, anti-codon, and T loops). The record is from RNAcentral. Lineage: Eukaryota; Metazoa; Annelida; Clitellata; Crassiclitellata; Lumbricidae.
UAUAAUUUAGUGUAUGGCGCACGAAGGUUUUUGAAACCUAAAGUCUAAGUUCAAAUCUUAUAAUUAUAA